AUGCAAGUCGAGGGGCAGCAUUUCUAGCUUGCUAGAAGAUGGCGACCGGCGGACGGGUGCGUAACGCGUAUGCAACUUGCCUAUAACUUGGGGAUAACUUGGAGAAAUCCUUGCUAAUAUCUAAUGUGAUCAAAGAUUCGCAUGUUUUUUUGAUUAAAGAAUUUCGGUUAUAGAUAGGCAUGCGUCCUAUUAGCUAGUUGGUAAGGUAACGGCUUACCAAGGCGACGAUAGGUAGGGGGCCUGAGAGGGUGAUCCCCCACACUGGUACUGAGACACGGACCAGACUCCUACGGGAGGCAGCAGUGAGGAAUAUUGGUCAAUGGAGGCAACUCUGAACCAGCCAUCCCGCGUGAAGGAUGAAGGCGCUCGACGUCGUAAACUUCUUUUAUAUAGGAAUAAACUUAAGUACGUGUACUUAAUUGAAUGUACUAUAUGAAUAAGCAUCGGCUAACUCCGUGCCAGCAGCCGCGGUAAUACGGAGGAUGCAAGCGUUAUCCGGAUUUAUUGGGUUUAAAGGGUCCGCAGGCGGACCAGUCAGUCAGUGGUGAAAUCCCAUCGCUCAACGAUGGAACUGCCAUUGAUACUGCUGGUCUUGAGUCUAGUUGACGUAGGCGGAAUAUGACAUGUAGCGGUGAAAUGCAUAGAUAUGUCAUAGAACACCAAUUGCGAAGGCAGCUUACGAAACUGAGACUGACGCUCAUGGACGAAAGCGUGGGUAGCGAACAGGAUUAGAUACCCUGGUAGUCCACGCCGUAAACGAUGAUCACUCGAUGUCAGCGAUAUACAGUUGGUGUCUUAGCGAAAGUUUUAAGUGAUCCACCUGGGGAGUACGUUCGCAAGAAUGAAACUCAAAGGAAUUGACGGGGGCCCGCACAAGCGGUGGAGCAUGUGGUUUAAUUCGAUGAUACGUGAGGAACCUUACCUGGGCUUAAAUGUAGAGUGCUUUAGAUGGAAACAUCUUUUUCUUCGGACGCUCUAC
Molecule: ribosomal RNA, 979 nt
Filed under: uncultured marine bacterium
Lineage: Bacteria
Description: bacterial SSU rRNA
Rfam family: Bacterial small subunit ribosomal RNA
Source: RNAcentral